CAGCCAGGUACUAUUCUAGAUUGUCUUGUGAUAUUUACAAUCUAGGAGAAGGCAGGAGAGAGAACUAAGAACAGAGAGCAUGUUCUGAGAUGUCUGCUGUGUUUGCAGACUUAGAUUUUUGGCUGGACUAUUGGCUUGGGAUAGAUGAAAAUCAUUCCUUGUAUCCCCUGAUCUUAAAGUCAAGACUGAACCAGCCUCCAGAUGCAAGCCUUCAUGGGGCUUCAGAUACCAUGAGGAAUGGGCGUCCCUGCAAUAUUGUCAUGGCUGUCAAAAGUGUUAUUGGAGCUGGACGUGAGGCUUCUCCCCAGCACCAGCAUUCCAUGAAGGCAGCCCUUUUCUAGAUGGAGAAAACAGAACCUGAAGGCACCCGUUUCCCUAAACUGCUCUCACUCAUGUAAACUCCUGGAGGGCAGAGCCAUGCCUGCCAUUUUCAUCAUUGCAUUACCACCACCCAGCACAGUGCCUGGUACAAAAGAGUUGCUCAAUAAAUAAAUCAGGAUGAAUGGACAAAUACACGGAUAGGCACUUUGAACUACAGAUGAGCUUAAAUACUUUGUGUUUUUCUUAGUCAAACAUGUGCAAUUAAGCAUGUGAUAAAUUAUAUGAUGACCACA
RNAcentral lists this long non-coding RNA (614 nucleotides) under Homo sapiens (human). RNAcentral describes it as "long intergenic non-protein coding RNA 2614". Lineage: Eukaryota; Metazoa; Chordata; Mammalia; Primates; Hominidae. The record is from RNAcentral.